This 253-nucleotide ribosomal RNA is filed under the name uncultured bacterium. RNAcentral's name for it is "partial 16S ribosomal RNA". It matches the Rfam family "Bacterial small subunit ribosomal RNA", at positions 524 to 776 of the family's 1533-position model. The record is from RNAcentral.
UACGUAGGGGGCAAGCGUUGUCCGGAUUUACUGGGCGUAAAGAGCGCGCAGGCGGUCGUUCAAGUCGCGUGUGAAAGCCCCCGGCUCAACUGGGGAGGGUCACGCGAUACUGAUCGACUCGAAGGCAGGAGAGGGAAGUGGAAUUCCCGGUGUAGCGGUGGAAUGCGUAGAGAUCGGGAAGAACACCCGUGGCGAAGGCGACGUGCUGGGCUGUUUCUGACGCUGAGAUGCGAAAGUGUGGGGAGCAAACGGG